RNA transcript from Ruditapes philippinarum (Manila clam), 4810 nucleotides. RefSeq lists it as uncharacterized. Lineage: Eukaryota; Metazoa; Mollusca; Bivalvia; Venerida; Veneridae. The record is from RefSeq and is a predicted model, not a curated record. The transcript has 5 exons.
CUCUGUAGAUUUAAAUAAUGAGAAUAUAUCAAAUAUGCCCAUGUUUGAAGCACACUCACCUGUCGGGUCUGAAAAUGAAUCCUCUGACAGUUCUGAAUCUGAUUGUGAUUCGGAUGACCAAGAGGCUAAUCUGUCUACACUUUUGGUAUCUUGGGUUGCUAAACAUAAUAUUAGCCAUGUUGCAGUUAAUGAGUUAUUAGUUAUUUUACGGCAUUAUCAUCCUUACCUGCCAAAAGAUGUUAGAACGUUAAUGAAAACUCCAAAAAGUUAUGAAGUUUUAAAUGUUGCUGGUGGUAGCUAUUAUCACUUCGGAAUAGAAAAUUGGGUUAUGUUAAUAGUCACGGGCAUAAAAAUGUUAAUGAAGUUUCUCUUCAAGUAAAUAUUGAUGGGCUGCCCUUGUUUAAAAGUUCUGGUGCUCAGCUGUGGCCCAUAUUAGGACGACUUGUAAAACCCAAAAUUUCUAAGCCAUUUCUAAUUGGACUCUAUUCUGGAGAUCAAAAACCUACCAGUGUGGCGGAAUAUCUUAAUCACUUUGUUCGUGACUUGAAUGAUUUAUUUCAGAAUGGAGUUAGGGUUUCAGAUGAAUCUGAAGAGAGAGAGUUGAAUGUUCACUGUCAUGCAUUAUUUGUGAUGCACCUGCAAAAGCAUUUGUCAAACAAAUUAAAGGCUAUAGUGGCUAUCAUGGUUGUGAUAAAUGUAGGCAACGUGGAGUAUGGCGAUAAAUGUAGGCAACGUGGAGUAUGGCAUGGAAAGAUGACAUUUCCUUCAACAAACUCUCCUCUCAGAACUGAUGCUUUGUUUGAUGAAAUGCAAGAUGCAGAGCAUCACAUUGGUCAAUCUCCAUUUCAUAAUUUGCCAGUCGGCAUGGUUUCUCAGUUUCCAAUAGAUGCUAUGCACUUAGUAUACCUUGGAGUAGUUAAACGCAUGAUAAUGCUUUGGAUCAAGGGGCCACUGGAAAAUGGGUGUCGUAUUGGUAUGAAUGCUGUCAAGAGAAUAUCAAGUAGCUUGGCUUAUUUAAAGGGGUUCUUACCAAAAGAGUUCAGUCGCAAAGCACGGACUCUUAUGUCGAAAGAUGGAAAGCAACAGAAUUUCGUCAAUUCUUGCUGUAUACUGGUCCAGUUGUUCUAAAGAAACAGCUGCCUCCCAAUUUGUACAAGCAUUUUAUCUUGUUGUUUGUUAGUAUGUUUUGCUUGUCUUGCAGUUUUUUUUGUGAAACUUAUAGGGAUUAUGUCCAGGAAUUACUUUAUAGAUUUGCAAAUCAGUUUGGUGAGAUAUAUGGCAGAGAUAUGGUUGUUUUUAAUGUUCAUGGUUUGGUGCACUUGCCUACAUAUGUUCACAAGUUUGGUCCAUUGGAAAAUUUAUCUGCCUUUGUGUUUGAAAGCUUUCUCGGAAAAAUGAAGUGUCUUGUAAGAAGACCCACAUUGCCUCUGCAACAAGUUAUUCGUAGAAUAUCUGAAAGUAAAGGAAACCUUUUUGCUGAUGCUAAAGUUUCUGAAAAAGAAGGCAUAUUGAAAAAAGCCCAUGCUAAUGGACCACUGCUGAGAAGGUUUAACCAUAUGACAGUUUCCCAGUUCAAAGAAAUCCAUUUUCCUGACAUCUUUUUCUCUACAUCACAAGGCAACAACUGCUUUCUUGUAAAUGAUAAUGUUGGAAUUAUAAGAAAUAUUGUUUUGAACGAUGCUGCCCAAAAAUUGAUUAUUUAUGAGCAAUUUACUCGUGUAACAAAUUUUUUCAAUCUCCCAUUGCCAUCUUCAGACCUAAGAGUAAAACGUGUUGCCCAAUUAAGUGGCAUACUGUCUGUUGCUGAUUUUAAAGACAUCAUUUGUAAAUGUGUUCUCCUUCAAAUUGAUGAUGACUUUGUUUGUAUACCACUUAUACAUGAUUUGACUGAUUGAGAUACACUUCAAGCAGUUCAUUACACCACUUUUUUGUUUUUUUUUAUCUGAUUUUAUAACUUGGUCAUAUUCCUAUUAAAUUAAUACAGAAAAUGUAAACUAAAUCGAUUCAGUUUGAACGUUUUAAAAUUACUAUAGCUUGAUUCAUAGUUAUAUUAUAGCUAAACAUUUAUGUCACAUCAGAGAACAUAGUUAUUAGCUCACCUGCCACUCUGUGGCAAGGUGAGCCUUUGUGAUCGUCUUUCAUCCGUCCGUGCGUCUGUGCGUCCGUUAACUUUUUCUUUAAACAACAUCCCCUAAACCACUGGGCCAAUUUCAUUGAAACUUCACAGGAUAUUGCUUGGGUGAAGGUCUACCAAAAUUAUUCAAAUGGUUGCGGUCCCUUGCACAUUGUGGCCAUGAGGCCCCAAAAGGGGGGUUUCAGAAUGCAACUUUUAAAAAAUCUUCUUCUCAAGAACCACAAGGCCCAGUGCUUAGAUUAAGUUAGAUAGUUGGCGUGAAGCAUCAUCUAGUGGACCUCUACCAAGAUUGUUCAAAUCAUGACCCACAGGGUCAAAAUGGCCCUGCCCCAGGGCAAACCUAGUUUCACAUAAAGGAUAUAUAUGGAAAACUUUCAAAAAUCUUCUCUAGAACCACAAGGCCCAGAGCUUAGAUAUUGGGCAUGAUGCAUUAACUAGUGGACCUUUACAAAGAUUGUUCAAAUCAUGACCCAUGGGGUCAAAAUAACCCCGCCACAGAUUGAACUUAGUUUAACAUACGGAUAUAUUUGGAAAUCUAAAUCAGUUUCAGCUAUUGCAUACUCUGCAUUUCUCAUCAUCCCAGCCGUUUACUCCACAUACCAUGAAUAGGCAAGUGAGCGAAAUCAAGGCCUUUCUGGCCCACUUGUUUUAUCUAAAAUGUAGUUUUACCUUUAAAUGUUUACUAUAAUACAUUUUUAUACAUCUGUAGUGGUUUUAAGACUGCAUAAAAUUAUCAUUUCAAAUAUAGUUACUUUUUAUAUUUUAAUCUCAGUAAUUACUUCAAAAAUGUGCAUGCUGUGCCAGCAUUUGUCUUGUGAUUGUUGUCUUAUUAUAAAUGAUUGUAGCAGCAACAAUGCUUAAGUUUUGAUUUCGUUUUGCCAGGAAAUGUCCAAGUAUCUAGUAGUUGAGUUUGCCUCUCAUGAGGUAGCAAUCAUAUUAGAAAAAUGCCUGAAAAAAGCAGUGACGGGACAUCAAAAGCAUUUUGGCCACCCCUUAAAUCCAUUUCACAGCUGACGGCGGCUGUGAAACAACAUGCUGAGCCAGACAGUAACUGGAUGCUGUGUGAUGUUUUAAGAAUUAUGUACACAACAGACUUAUUUCAAAAAGCCCAGAAAAAGGAGAAGGAGGCAGAAGAGGAGUCAGAUUUGCUGACCGAUGUUGAUUUAACUUCUACAAAGGUGGCUGGUAAACGUAAACAUCGGCCGAAUCCACGAUUUAUAGAUUCGGAUUCAGAGUCUGACACGGAGGUGGUGAAAAAAUGCCCGAAGCCAGUCUCACAAGAUAAACCAAAACAAGACAACAUUUAGAGACAGGUGCCUCAACUUCAAGAUACAUAUUCAGACUCAGAAGCUGCUUAUGAUUAUCCAGCACCUCCAGUAAAAUUAAACCUUUUAACUACAACUACUACAAACCAACACCAACCUCGUACACCAACAUCAUCUAAACGUACCCCAGAACCUAUAACACCAGCAUCAUCUAAACGUACCCCAGAACCUGAUACACCAACAUCGUCUAGACCUACACCAGAAUCCUCACAGGUACCAUGAUCUCCACGUGCCUCGACAUCCGACACUGAGCGGACAAAGAAUGUGCUGUCAAAUCGAGACAUCUUGAUUCUUCGGAGUUUAGAAGAAAUAAAACAUGAACAGCGUGAAAUCAAGGGGAUGUUAACAGGGCUUAACCAGCGCCUGAAUGGAAGUGGAGAUGCAACUGCUUCAGUUCCAAACGGAGUUAACCUGCCAUUAAAAAGUGGAGAAGAAUUGCAAGAAGUAGAAACCAUUCUUCAAGAGCAGUCUUCAAUGCAAAUGAUGGUCAGGUAUUUCUCCAACAUUGGUGGGGCAUCGUUGAAGAGCAUGACAAAACGCAUAAUGAAGGACACUCUUCAAAAUAGUUUAGCUGUACAGUUCAACUGGACUGGAGCCAAAACUAAAAUAGCCUUUGGGUCAUUGAAGUUAUGUUCUGUAGUUUGUAGUAAGUUAUUGCAAUAUUCAUAUUUUGUUGACUCCUAAUCCAAUAGACCUCUCCGGCGUGGGUUCGAAUCCCAGCGGGGGACGCGAUUUGUCAGUUUGGCACGGAGGAGUAGGGGUCUGGUACUGGUUAUUUCCAGGAAAGAUGUUUAGGAAACUGACCGCACAAUAACUGAAAAAUUGUUGAAAGGGCGUAAAAACAAACAACAACAACUAUUCGUAUUAUAGUUAUUAGAGAUUGUAUAAAAGUAUUGUAUAUUUUGAUUAACUUAUGAACAAUGCUGUUCACAUCAAUUUACUUCUGUGCGUAUCUCAUGAUACUAUUAAAGUCUGUCAACAUUGAAUUGUCACUCGAUAACUAUUCGGUAAACUUCGUAAACCUUUAACGAUAUUCAAACACCCUUACCAUAAAAAAAAAUACAGGUUGUAUACAAGUUAUUAUAGUUAUAGACAAUUUUAGGGUGAAUGUCAUAACAAACUUACAGCAAAUGGUACUGUCAAUAUGACCUUGGAGAUGUGCCGAUAUGGAAAAAUAUCGGACCAUACCAAAGCUUUGGUGUCAUUUAAACUCGACAGAGUGGUUGCACAUAAUUGUACUUUUUAAUUAUGCUACAUGUUGUAUGAAAAUGAUUUUCUCAGAUAAGUUAUACGUUACAAAUUAUAUUAUUUCUAGCUAGUACAUAUGUUUAUCAAAUAUGUGCUCUGUAUU